This 314-nucleotide ribosomal RNA is filed under the name uncultured Glomus. RNAcentral describes it as "partial 18S ribosomal RNA". Lineage: Eukaryota; Fungi; Glomeromycota; Glomeromycetes; Glomerales; Glomeraceae. The record is from RNAcentral.
CGUAAGGCGCCGAAUGAGUCAUUAAAAAAUUAACAUCAUCCGAUCCCUAGUCGGCAUAGUUUAUGGUUAAGACUACGACGGUAUCUGAUCGUCUUCGAUCCCCUAACUUUCGUUCUUGAUUAAUGAAAACAUCCUUGGCAAAUGCUUUUCGCAGUAGUUAGUCUUCAAUAAAUCCAAGAAUUUCACCUCUGACAAUUGAAUACUAAUCGCCCCCAACUAUCCCUAUUAAUCAUUACGUCAAUCCUAGAAACCAACAAAAUAGAAUCAAACGUCCUAUUUCAUUAUCCAUGCUAAUGUAUUCAAGCGCGAGCCUG